RNAcentral lists this ribosomal RNA (302 nucleotides) under Pseudomonas syringae. RNAcentral's name for it is "partial 23S ribosomal RNA". It matches the Rfam family "Bacterial large subunit ribosomal RNA", at positions 1 to 307 of the family's 2925-position model. Lineage: Bacteria; Pseudomonadati; Pseudomonadota; Gammaproteobacteria; Pseudomonadales; Pseudomonadaceae. The record is from RNAcentral.
GUUAUAUGGUCAAGUGAAGAAGCGCAUACGGUGGAUGCCUUGGCAGUCAGAGGCGAUGAAAGACGUGGUAGCCUGCGAAAAGCUUCGGGGAGUCGGCAAACAGACUGUGAUCCGGAGGUAUCUGAAUGGGGGAACCCAGCCAUCAUAAGAUGGUUAUCUUGUACUGAAUACAUAGGUGCAAGAGGCGAACCAGGGGAACUGAAACAUCUAAGUACCCUGAGGAAAAGAAAUCAACCGAGAUUCCCUUAGUAGUGGCGAGCGAACGGGGACCAGCCCUUAAGUUGUAUUGAGAUUAGCGGAAC